GACGAACGCUGGCGGCGUGCCUAAUACAUGCAAGUCGAACGCAUUUUCUUUCACCGUAGCUUGCUACACCGAAAGAAAAUGAGUGGCGAACGGGUGAGUAACACGUGGGUAACCUGCCCAUCAGCGGGGGAUAACACUUGGAAACAGGUGCUAAUACCGCAUAAUUCCAUUUACCGCAUGGUAGAUGGAUGAAAGGCGCUUYUGCGUCACUGAUGGAUGGACCCGCGGUGCAUUAGCUAGUUGGUGGGGUAACGGCCUACCAAGGYUGCGAUGCAUAGCCGACCUGAGAGGGUGAUCGGCCACACUGGGACUGAGACACGGCCCAGACUCCUACGGGAGGCAGCAGUAGGGAAUCUUCGGCAAUGGACGCAAGUCUGACCGAGCAACGCCGCGUGAGUGAAGAAGGUUUUCGGAUCGUAAAACUCUGUUGUUAGAGAA
Molecule: ribosomal RNA, 438 nt
Filed under: uncultured bacterium
Lineage: Bacteria
Description: bacterial SSU rRNA
Rfam family: Bacterial small subunit ribosomal RNA
Source: RNAcentral